Molecule: ribosomal RNA, 377 nt
Filed under: uncultured cyanobacterium
Lineage: Bacteria; Bacillati; Cyanobacteriota
Description: bacterial SSU rRNA
Rfam family: Bacterial small subunit ribosomal RNA
Source: RNAcentral
CGCAAGCCUGACGGAGCAAGACCGCGUGCGGGAUGACGGCCUAAUGGUUGUAAACCGCUUUUCUCUGGGAAGAUGAUGACGGUACCAGAGGAAUCAGCCUCGGCUAACUCCGUGCCAGCAGCCGCGGUAAUACGGAGGAGGCAAGCGUUAUCCGGAAUUAUUGGGCGUAAAGCGUCCGUAGGUGGUUAUUCAAGUCUGCUGUCAAAGCGUGGGGCUUAACUCCAUAGAGGCAGUGGAAACUGGAUGACUUGGGUGCGGUAGGGGUCGAGGGAAUUCCCAGUGUAGCGGUGAAAUGCGUAGAUAUUGGGAAGAACACCAGUGGCGAAAGCGCUCGACUGGGCCUGCACUGACACUGAGGGACGAAAGCUAGGGGAGCG